UGAACCUGGUUGAUCCUGCCAGUAAUCGUAUGCUUGUCUCGAAGAUUAAGCCAUGCAUGUAAAGUUCAAGCUCCGAUAUGAGUGCGAAACCGCGAAUGGCUCAUUAAAUCAGUCAUAAUCUACUUGAUUGUUUCAAGUUUAUAUGGAUAACUGUGGUAAUUCUAGAGCUAAUACAUGCACAAAGAGGGCGACUC
Molecule: ribosomal RNA, 194 nt
Filed under: uncultured eukaryote
Lineage: Eukaryota
Description: partial 18S ribosomal RNA
Rfam family: Eukaryotic small subunit ribosomal RNA
Source: RNAcentral